Molecule: ribosomal RNA, 731 nt
Filed under: Bacillus sp. TJTB28
Lineage: Bacteria; Bacillati; Bacillota; Bacilli; Caryophanales; Bacillaceae
Description: bacterial SSU rRNA
Rfam family: Bacterial small subunit ribosomal RNA
Source: RNAcentral
CGAAAGCGUGGGGAGCAAACAGGAUUAGAUACCGUGGUAGUGCACGCCGUAAACGAUGAGUGCUAGGUGUUAGGGGUUUCGAUGCCUCAGUGCCGAAGUUAACACAUUAAGCACUCCGCCUGGGGAGUACGACCGCAAGGUUGAAACUCAAAGGAAUUGACGGGGGCCCGCACAAGCAGUGGAGCAUGUGGUUUAAUUCGAAGCAACGCGAAGAACCUUACCAGGUCUUGACAUCCUUUGACCACUCUAGAGAUAGAGCUUUCCCCUUCGGGGGACAAAGUGACAGGUGGUGCAUGGUUGUCGUCAGCUCGUGUCGUGAGAUGUUGGGUUAAGUCCCGCAACGAGCGCAACCCUUGAUCUUAGUUGCCAGCAUUCAGUUGGGCACUCUAAGGUGACUGCCGGUGACAAACCGGAGGAAGGUGGGGAUGACGUCAAAUCAUCAUGCCCCUUAUGACCUGGGCUACACACGUGCUACAAUGGAUGGUACAAAGGGCUGCAAAACCGCGAGGUUGAGCGAAUCCCAUAAAGCCAUUCUCAGUUCGGAUUGUAGGCUGCAACUCGCCUACAUGAAGCCGGAAUUGCUAGUAAUCGCGGAUCAGCAUGCCGCGGUGAAUACGUUCCCGGGCCUUGUACACACCGCCCGUCACACCACGAGAGUUUGUAACACCCGAAGUCGGUGAGGUAACCUUUUGGAGCCAGCCGCCUAAGGUGGGACAGAUGAUUGGGGUGAA